AAGCUAUGAGAUAAAAACACGAUUCGGUUGGUAGUCCGAAUGCAGAUGCUAAUCUGUCAGUAACCUGCCCUCCUGGGGUUGUCCAUUCUCUUUAAAAAGCAA
Molecule: non-coding RNA, 102 nt
Filed under: Geosporobacter ferrireducens
Lineage: Bacteria; Bacillati; Bacillota; Clostridia; Peptostreptococcales; Thermotaleaceae
Description: Azaaromatic sequence
Rfam family: azaaromatic riboswitch aptamer (yjdF RNA)
Source: Rfam by way of RNAcentral